Molecule: long non-coding RNA, 255 nt
Filed under: Glycine max (soybean)
Lineage: Eukaryota; Viridiplantae; Streptophyta; Magnoliopsida; Fabales; Fabaceae
Description: long non-coding RNA (GMAX_LNC004015)
Source: RNAcentral
CAAAGAACAAAUAGAAUACAAUGGGUGUAAAAAUAAAAAAAAUUUAAAAAAUACAACGUCUAGAAAGAGCAUCAUGUGUCUGGUUUUGGUCGCAUGAAAUGAUUAUCCAUUAUAAGAAGUAUCUCUGAAACUGUAAGAUUAGCUUUGGUGUCAUUGUUUGAUGCAACAGCUGAGGCCCAUUCACGCAUCUUCAUUUUCACCCACUCAAUCGCCAUGCCAUCGUCCAAGCUCGAACUAGUAGUAAUGUUGCAGUGC